ACGCCUGCCCAGUGACUUUAUGUUUAACGGCCGCGGUACUCUGACCGUGCAAAGGUAGCGUAAUCACUUGUCUUUUAAAUAAGGACUAGUAUGAAUGGCAUCACGAGGGCUUAGCUGUCUCCCUCAUCUAAUCAGUGAAACUGAUCUCCCUGUGAAAAAGCAGGGAUAAAUACAUAAGACGAGAAGACCCUAUGGAGCUUUAAACCAAAAACUACCUGUUUAAUCUACUAUACUAAAAAUAAUACUAAAAUAACUGAUCUAGCUUAGGUUUUCAGUUGGGGUGACUGUGGAGAAAAAUAAAUCCUCCACGCAGACUUAAGCUUUGAGCAACCGCUCUACGCAUUAGCAAGUCUAACUGCACUUGAUCCAAUAUUUUUGAUCAACGGACCAAGUUACCCUAGGGAUAACAGCGCAAUCCAUUUCAAGAGUCCAUAUCGACAAAUGGGUUUACGACCUCGAUGUUGGAUUAGGACACCCAAGUGGUGCAGCCGCUACUUAAGGUUCGUUUGUUC
RNAcentral lists this ribosomal RNA (512 nucleotides) under Scutiger nepalensis. RNAcentral describes it as "partial 16S ribosomal RNA". It matches the Rfam family "Bacterial large subunit ribosomal RNA", at positions 1855 to 2582 of the family's 2925-position model. Lineage: Eukaryota; Metazoa; Chordata; Amphibia; Anura; Megophryidae. The record is from RNAcentral. RNAcentral also lists the same sequence under 1 other name.